This 569-nucleotide ribosomal RNA is filed under the name uncultured bacterium. Its description in RNAcentral is "bacterial SSU rRNA". It matches the Rfam family "Bacterial small subunit ribosomal RNA", at positions 8 to 572 of the family's 1533-position model. The record is from RNAcentral.
AGAGUUUGAUCCUGGCUCAGAUUGAACGCUGGCGGAAUGCUUUACACAUGCAAGUCGAGCGGCAGCGCGGGGGCAACCCUGGCGGCGAGCGGCGAACGGGUGAGUAAUGUAUCGGAACGUACCCUGUCGUGGGGGAUAACACAGCGAAAGCUGUGCUAAUACCGCAUACGACCUGAGGGUGAAAGCGGGGGAUCGCAAGACCUCGCGCGAUAGGAGCGGCCGAUAUCGGAUUAGCUAGUUGGUGAGGUAAAGGCUCACCAAGGCGACGAUCCGUAGCUGGUCUGAGAGGACGACCAGCCACACUGGAACUGAGACACGGUCCAGACUCCUACGGGAGGCAGCAGUGGGGAAUUUUGGACAAUGGGGGCAACCCUGAUCCAGCCAUUCCGCGUGAGUGAAGAAGGCCUUCGGGUUGUAAAGCUCUUUCAGCAGGAACGAAACGGUGGUCCCUAAUACGGGCUACUAAUGACGGUACCUGAAGAAGAAGCACCGGCUAACUACGUGCCAGCAGCCGCGGUAAUACGUAGGGUGCGAGCGUUAAUCGGAAUUACUGGGCGUAAAGCGUGCGC